GAUGAAGAACGUAGCAAAAUGCGAUAAGUAAUGUGAAUUGCAGAAUUCAGUGAAUCAUCGAAUCUUUGAACGCACAUUGCGCCCGCCAGUAUUCUGGCGAGCAUGCCUGUUCGAGCGUCAUUUCAACCCUCAAGCACAGCUUGGUGUUGGGACUCGCGUUAAUUCGCGUUCCUCAAAUUGAUUGGCGGUCACGUCGAGCUUCCAUAGCGUAGUAGUAAAACCCUCGUUACUGGUAAUCGUCGCGGCCACGCCGUUAAACCCCAACUUCUGAAUGUUGACCUCGGAUCAGGUAGGAAUACCCGCUGAACUUAAGCAUAUCAAUAAGCGGAGGA
RNAcentral lists this unclassified non-coding RNA (332 nucleotides) under soil metagenome. RNAcentral describes it as "partial contains 5.8S ribosomal RNA, internal transcribed spacer 2, and large subunit ribosomal RNA". The stretch from base 1 to 120 matches the Rfam family "5.8S ribosomal RNA", at positions 35 to 154 of the family's 154-position model. The record is from RNAcentral.